AGUGAACGCUGGCGGUAGGCCUAACACAUGCAAGUCGAACGGCAGCACAGUAAGAGCUUGCUCUUACGGGUGGCGAGUGGCGGACGGGUGAGGAAUACAUCGGAAUCUACUUUUUCGUGGGUGAUAACGUAGGGAAACUUACGCUAAUACCUCAUACGACCUACGGGUUAAAGCAGGGGAUCUUCGGACCUUUCGCGAUUGAAUGAGCCGAUGUCGGAUUAGCUAGUUGGCGGGGUAAAGGCCCACCAAGGCGACGAUCCGUAGCUGGUCUGAGAGGAUGAUCAGCCACACUGGAACUGAGACACGGUCCAGACUCCUACGGGAGGCAGCAGUGGGGAAUAUUGGACAAAGGGCGCAAGCCUGAUCCAGCCAUACCGCGUGGGUGAAGAAGGCCUUCGGGUUGUAAAGCCCUUUUGUUGGGAAAGAAAAGCAGCAGGUUAAUACCCCGCUGUUCUGACGGUACCCAAAGAAUAAGCACCGGCUAACUUCGUG
RNAcentral lists this ribosomal RNA (492 nucleotides) under uncultured bacterium. RNAcentral's name for it is "partial 16S ribosomal RNA". It matches the Rfam family "Bacterial small subunit ribosomal RNA", at positions 29 to 507 of the family's 1533-position model. The record is from RNAcentral.